UCGAGAAUCUUUGUCAAUGGGGGAAACCCUGAACAAGCGAUGCCGCGUGCGGGAUGAAGGCCUUCGGGUUGUAAACCGCUGUCAGUUGUUAGGAAAUGCGUGGUGGUUCUCCAUCAUGUUUGACCGAUCUUCAGAGGAAGGACGGGCUAAGUUCGUGCCAGCAGCCGCGGUAACACGAACCGUCCAAACGUUAUUCGGUAUCACUGGGCUUAAAGCGUGCGUAGGCGGCCUGGAAGGUCAGAGGUGAAAUCCCACGGCUCAACCGUGGAACUGCCUUUGAAACCACUUGGCUUGAGGAAGACAGGGGUGAUCGGAACUUAUGGUGGAGCGGUGAAAUGCGUUGAUAUCAUAGGGAACACCGGUGGCGAAAGCGGAUCACUGGGUCUUUUCUGACGCUGAGGCACGAAAGCUAGGGUAGCGAACGGGAUUAGAUACCCCCGUAGUCC
RNAcentral lists this ribosomal RNA (446 nucleotides) under uncultured prokaryote. RNAcentral's name for it is "bacterial SSU rRNA". It matches the Rfam family "Bacterial small subunit ribosomal RNA", at positions 355 to 796 of the family's 1533-position model. The record is from RNAcentral.